UACGUAGGAGGCAAGCGUUAUCCGGAUUUACUGGGCGUAAAGAGGGCGCAGGCGGCUCUUCAAGUCGGAUGUAAAAUCUCCCGGCUCAACUGGGAGGGACCAUCCGAUACUGUUGGGCUAGAGUACAGCAGAGGGAGGUGGAAUUCCCGGUGUAGUGGUGAAAUGCGUAGAUAUCGGGAGGAACACCAGUGGCGAAGGCGACCUCCUGGGCUGUUACUGACGCUGAGGUCCAAAAGCGUGGGGAGCAAACAGGAUUAGAUACCCCCGUA
This 269-nucleotide ribosomal RNA is filed under the name uncultured prokaryote. RNAcentral's name for it is "partial 16S ribosomal RNA". It matches the Rfam family "Bacterial small subunit ribosomal RNA", at positions 524 to 792 of the family's 1533-position model. The record is from RNAcentral.